This 268-nucleotide long non-coding RNA is filed under the name Mytilus galloprovincialis (Mediterranean mussel). Lineage: Eukaryota; Metazoa; Mollusca; Bivalvia; Mytilida; Mytilidae. The record is from RNAcentral.
GAGUCUUCAAUAGAAUAUGCGUUGUUUAUAUCUAAACAAAAUAAGGAAAUAAAAAGAUGGGGUCACCGUAAUGGAAAAAGAGAUAUUUCUAAAAAGGGGUUAACAAUUUGAAUUGGCGGGAACACAUUGCGCCAAUUCUAAAAACAACGUCGAAAGACGUUCGGCCGGUUUAGGCUAUAUUCUUACAAAUUAGGGACAACCCAGUUCUCGUUAUUUGCUGUUUUGUUGUUUGUUUGUUUUAAACUACGAUAAAUUCACAUUAAUCUAC